UACGAACCGUGCAAACGUUGUUCGGAAUCACUGGGCUUAAAGGGCGCGUAGGCGGGUUCUCAAGUCGGGGGUGAAAACUUGCGGCUCAACCGUAAGAGUGCCUUCGAUACUGGGAGUCUUGAGGGAGGUGGGGGUCGAUGGAACUGGUGGUGGAGCGGUGAAAUGCGUAGAUAUCACUAGGAACGCCGGUGGCGAAAGCGAUCGACUGGACCUCUUCUGACGCUGAGGCGCGAAAGCCAGGGGAGCGAACGGG
This 253-nucleotide ribosomal RNA is filed under the name uncultured bacterium. RNAcentral describes it as "partial 16S ribosomal RNA". It matches the Rfam family "Bacterial small subunit ribosomal RNA", at positions 524 to 776 of the family's 1533-position model. The record is from RNAcentral.